ACUCGAGUCAACUCUAUUAGGGUUCGAGCCGCUCUAGUAUGUAUGCCACCAGUAAAUGCUGCCUUCUAUCCUUCUAUUCGAGCCAGCUCUAUCAGGAUCUGAGCUGACUCAACCUAGAUUCGAGCUAGCUCAACUCUAGUCCUGGAUUCGAGCUGACUCGAUCUAUAGUCAAGCCAGCUCGACAGCUAUGUCAUUCAUUGGUGUCAGAUGCAUAGCUCUCUGUCUACUGUUCGAGCUGGCUCUCGCAGAGCUCAAGUCGGUUCGACUGCUGGCUGAUGCUCCUGAUGCUUCCUUCACCCCUUAGUCUUUCUUCAUCUAUUCCCAAGGUUUAAGAGCACCACAUCUGAGCUCACACAUGUAUCCU
Molecule: long non-coding RNA, 364 nt
Filed under: Elaeis guineensis (African oil palm)
Lineage: Eukaryota; Viridiplantae; Streptophyta; Magnoliopsida; Arecales; Arecaceae
Description: long non-coding RNA (EGUI_LNC030717)
Source: RNAcentral